This 145-nucleotide microRNA precursor is filed under the name Helianthus annuus (common sunflower). The record is from RNAcentral. Lineage: Eukaryota; Viridiplantae; Streptophyta; Magnoliopsida; Asterales; Asteraceae.
AAGGUAAAAGCAUUUCAGACGAGCCAAAGAUGACUUGCUACAAAUCCCCUUCAAAAAUUGUGUCAUUGUAUGGGUACAAUUUACAACAUUUUAGUACAUGAUUUUAGGCAAGUCAUCCUUGGCUAUCCAAAUCGCUCUUUAACCU